AGCGAACGCUGGCGGCAGGCCUAACACAUGCAAGUCGAACGAACUCUUCGGAGUUAGUGGCGGACGUGUGAGUAACACGUGGGAACGUGCCUUUAGGUUCGGAAUAACUCAGGGAAACUUGUGCUAAUACCGAAUGUGCCCUUCGGGGGAAAGAUUUAUCGCCUUUAGAGCGGCCCGCGUCUGAUUAGCUAGUUGGUGAGGUAAAGGCUCACCAAGGCGACGAUCAGUAGCUGGUCUGAGAGGAUGAUCAGCCACAUUGGGACUGAGACACGGCCCAAACUCCUACGGGAGGCAGCAGUGGGGAAUCUUGCGCAAUGGGCGAAAGCCUGACGCAGCCAUGCCGCGUGAAUGAUGAAGGUCUUAGGAUUGUAAAAUUCUUUCAACGGGGACGAUAAUGACGGUACCCGGAGAAGAAGCCCCGGCUAACUUCGUG
This 433-nucleotide ribosomal RNA is filed under the name uncultured bacterium. RNAcentral's name for it is "partial 16S ribosomal RNA". It matches the Rfam family "Bacterial small subunit ribosomal RNA", at positions 29 to 507 of the family's 1533-position model. The record is from RNAcentral.